Molecule: ribosomal RNA, 207 nt
Filed under: uncultured bacterium
Lineage: Bacteria
Description: partial 16S ribosomal RNA
Rfam family: Bacterial small subunit ribosomal RNA
Source: RNAcentral
UCCGUAGGUGGUCAUGCAAGUCUGCUGUCAAAGCCCACAGCUUAACUGUGGAUCGGCGGUGGAAACUGUGUGACUUGAGUACGGUAGGGGUAGAGGGAAUUCCCAGUGUAGCGGUGAAAUGCGUAGAUAUUGGGAAGAACACCGGUGGCGAAAGCGCUCUACUGGACCGUAACUGACACUGAGGGACGAAAGCUAAGGUAGCGAAAG